This 468-nucleotide ribosomal RNA is filed under the name Triticum aestivum (bread wheat). Its description in RNAcentral is "partial small subunit ribosomal RNA". The record is from RNAcentral. Lineage: Eukaryota; Viridiplantae; Streptophyta; Magnoliopsida; Poales; Poaceae.
AUGCAUGAUCAGGUCGGCUUUGACCUGAACGGCUUCCCACUCGACCACAAGUUUCCGGAGGACUACGGACAAGAGGAAGAGGAUGAGUUGGACAUCAAAGGGGAGCCUUUGUUUGAGGACGAGCUCACCAACCAAGCUGCCGGGAGGAAACCAAAGCGCAAGAGCAGGCAGACCAAGGCGUACACGAUAGCCGAGGACAAGCUUCUUUGUGAGUGUUGGAGGGAUAUUCGGCAAGACCCCAAGACCGGCGCCGAACAAAAGGCAUCAACCAUUUGGACUCGUGUCCAUCGUGAGUUUCAUGAGCGCGAGAAGUUUCCACCGUACCAAAUGCAAAGCACGCGCGGAUGGCUGUCCAUUUCGAAGCGUUGUAAGGUGAUCCAACAAGAGUGCAACAAGUUUUGUGCCACUCUUGAGAGCUUCAAGGCAUGCCCCGUGAGCGGCAUCGGCAUGCAAGACAUGGUAUGCUAG